Molecule: ribosomal RNA, 435 nt
Filed under: uncultured bacterium
Lineage: Bacteria
Description: partial 16S ribosomal RNA
Rfam family: Bacterial small subunit ribosomal RNA
Source: RNAcentral
AGCGAACGCUGGCGGCAGGCUUAACACAUGCAAGUCGAGCGGGCACUUUCGGGUGUCAGCGGCGGACGGGUGAGUAACGCGUGGGAACGUGCCCUCUGGUUCGGAAUAACUCAGGGAAACUUGAGCUAAUACCGGAUACGCCCUUUUGGGGAAAGGCUUGCUGCCGGAGGAUCGGCCCGCGUCUGAUUAGCUAGUUGGUGAGGUAACGGCUCACCAAGGCGACGAUCAGUAGCUGGUCUGAGAGGAUGAUCAGCCACACUGGGACUGAGACACGGCCCAGAAUCCUACGGGAGGCAGCAGUGGGGAAUAUUGGACAAUGGGCGCAAGCCUGAUCCAGCCAUGCCGCGUGAGUGAUGAAGGCCUUAGGGUUGUAAAGCUCUUUUAUCCGGGACGAUAAUGACGGUACCGGAGGAAUGAGCCCCGGCUAACUUCGUG